CGCAUCUGUGCAUGCAGCAUAUCAAUAAGCGGAGGAAAAGAAACUAACAAGGAUUCCCCUAGUAACGGCGAGUGAAGCGGGAAGAGCUCAAAUUUGAAAUCUUAAAGGGUUUCCCUUUACGAAUUGUAGUUUAAAGAAGUGUUUUCUGUUGAGGUUUUGGUAAAAGUUCUUUGGAAUAGGACAUCAUAGAGGGGUGAGAAUCCCGUAUUUGACCUUUACUUUCAACUUUGUGAUACACUUUCAAAGAGUCGGAUUGUUUGGGAAUGCAGUCCAAAAUGGGUGGUAAAUUUCAUCUAAAGCUAAAUAUUGGCGAGGGACCGAUAGCGAACAAGUACCGUGAGGGAAAGAUGAAAAGAACUUUGAAAAGAGAGUUAAACAGUACGUGAAAUUGUCAAAAGGGAAGCGUUUGACACCAGUGUUGUUUUUCUGAAAAUCAAUUAAAGAACUGUUUAUGCUAAGCUGUUUAGACUUUAUCAGCUAACUGUUUAGUUUUGAGCUUUUCUUUAAUGCACUUUUCAGUUAACAAGUCAACAUCAAUUUCUUUUGCUGUAAAAAAGCUUGAGGAAGGUGGCUUGAGAUUCGUCUUAAGUGUUUAUAGCCUCUUGCCUAUGCAGUCGGAGAGAUUGAGGUCUGCAGCGUAGAUCCUUCGGGGCUAAAUGCAUUUGUGCUAAGUUAUAGCAUUUUAUAGACAACUUGUUGACUAUGAUUUGUCUUGUAGCUUACUCGCUUAUGUUAUUUUACCUACGCUUAGGAUGUUGAGUCAUCACACAUCUCU
Molecule: ribosomal RNA, 775 nt
Filed under: uncultured Neocallimastigales
Lineage: Eukaryota; Fungi; Neocallimastigomycota; Neocallimastigomycetes; Neocallimastigales
Description: partial large subunit ribosomal RNA
Rfam family: Eukaryotic large subunit ribosomal RNA
Source: RNAcentral